GGGGAAUCCCCGCAAAAGCUCCCAACAGGAGUCUGUGGACCCUUGCCAGCAGGGACAAUAGGAUUACUUUUAGGAAGUUCUAGUUUGAGUUUAAAAGGGGUACAACUGGUGUGAUUCCGUCCUGCGGGGCUGUUCCCUGGAGCAGCGUUCGUUUAUCUCCAUCCGCCUUCUCUCCCACCUAAGUGCGUGCAGCCACCUGAUGGAAGAUUUGAUGGACAUGAACAUGAGCCCCCUGAGGCCCCAGAACUAUCUAUUCGGUUGUGAACUAAAGGCUGACAAAAAUUAUCAGUCUAAGGUGGAUAAUGAUGAAAAUGAGCACCAGUUAUCUUUAAGAACGGUCAGUUUAGGGGCUGGUGCAGAGGAUGAAUUGCACAUUGUUGAAGCAGAGGCAACGAAUUACAAAGGCAGUCCAAUUAAAGUAACACUGGCAACUUUGAAAAUGUCUGUGCAGCCAACGGUUUCCCUUGGGGGCUUUAAAGUAACACCACCAGUGGACUUAAGGUUGAAGUGUGGUUCGGGGCCAGUGCAUAUUAGUGGACAGCACUUAGUAGCUGUGGAGGAAGAUGCAGAGUCAGAAGAUGAAGAGGAGGAGGAUGUGAAACUCUUAACUGUAUCUGGAAAGCGGUCUGCCCCUGGAGGUGGUAGCAAGGUUCCACAGAAAAAAGUAAAACUUGCUGCUGAUGAAGAUGAUGAUGAGGAUGAGGAUGAUGAUGAUGAAGAUGAUGAUGAUGAUUCUGAAGAUGAGGAAGCUAAAGAAAAAGGGCCAGUGAAGAAAUCUAAUUCUUCAAAAAAACAGGAAAAAACUCCUAAAACACCAAAAGGACUAGUUCUGUAGAAGACAUUAAAGCAAAAAUGCAAGCAAGUAUAGAAAAAGGUGGUUCUCUUCGCAGAGUGGAAGCCAGGUUCAUCAGUUAUGUGAAGAAUUGCUUCUGGAUGAUUGAUCAAGAGGCUAUUCAAGAUCUCUGGCAGUGGAGGAAGUUUCUUUAAGAAAAUAGUUUAAACAAUUUGUUAAAAAUUUUCCUUCUUAUUUUAUUUCUGUAACAGUUGAUAUCUGGCUGUCCUUUUUAUAAUGCAGAGUGAGAACUUUCCCUGCCACGUUUGAUAAGUGUUGUCCAGGUUCCAUUGCCAAGAAUGUGUUGUCCAAAAUGCCUGUUUAGUUUUUAAAGAUGGAACUCCACCCUUUGCUUGGUUUUCAGUAUGUAUGGAAUGUUAUGAUAGUACAUAGUAGUAGCGGUGGUCAGACGCAGAAAUGGUGGGGAGACAAAAAUAUACAUGUGAAAUAAAACUUAGAAUUUUAAUAAAGUAAAAAAAAGGGGGGGUACAAAUACAUACAGGAGUCAUUGAUUCAGAUUACAAUGGGGAAAUUCAAAUUGUUAUAUCUACUUCUAUUCCCUGGAAAGCAGAGCCAGGAGAGCACAUAGCACAGCUCCUGAUUGUGCUGUAUGUGGGAAUGGGAAAAAGUGAAAUUAAACGAACAGGAGGAUUUGGAAGCACAAAUAAACAAGGCAAAGCAGCUUAUUGGGUAAAUCAAAUUACUGAUAAAUGUCCUACCUGUAAAAUAACUAUUCAAUGAAACAAAUUUAAAGGUUUGGUAGAUACAGGAGCGGACAUUUCAAUCGUUUCUCUACAGCACUGGCCAUCCACAUGGCCAAUUCAACCCUCUCAAUUUAACAUAGUUGGAGCUGGUAA
This is an RNA transcript of Macaca mulatta (Rhesus monkey), 1689 nucleotides long. It is a transcript of the gene named nucleophosmin-like, with no coding region annotated. The record is from RefSeq and is a predicted model, not a curated record. Lineage: Eukaryota; Metazoa; Chordata; Mammalia; Primates; Cercopithecidae.